UCGUUUCAAGCUAAAGAGAAUUACAUAAAUAGGCUCCUUAUUUUAGUAAUCCCCUCCUUCUCUUUCCUUUACGAAUCUCUCAGUUUCAGAGCUCAAAAACAAAGCUCACCUCUCAACACAGCGUCCUCGACGACUACCGAAAAAAAUCUGCUGAUUCUAUUUUUUGUCCAUGGAGAAAGUGAAUACUUGAAUGAAUAUUUAUUCUCUUGAGGAAUUUUAGUUGUGAUCGAGAUCGGAGGAAAAAAAUGCGGGUGAAGGAAAUGCAUCCGCUGUGUUGUAUAUCUUUGGAGAGUCCCGGCAUCGGCGACCAGUCACCGGAGGUUUCUUUGACUCGAGCGAGGAGCAUGCCAGCCGGGAGUUUAUCCGGAUCUGAAACAGGCAAUGCGUCGAGGUUGACGACGCGAGGAUCCGAAGGCACUGUUGCCGGAAUUCUCUACAAAUGGACUAAUUACGGCAAAGGAUGGAGAUCCAGGUGGUUUUUGCUUCGUAACGGAGUGUUAUCUUACUCGAAGAUUCGCCGUCCGGAGACUCUAAACCUCCUCUCUCCUACUGAUGACGUCAGAUUGAUCGGUGAUAUCUCAACCAAUCGGCUUUCGAGGAUGGACAGUUGUAGCGGUAGACGGAAACACCAGAAAACCGUUGGCAUUAUUCAUUUAAAGAGUGGGUCACAUCAGCAGGUGGGCUUGGAGGGCUGCAAUAGGCAGAUCUCGUCAUUCCGGGAGAGCAAAUCUGAUGACAGACGGUUUUACAUUUUCACUGCUACAAAGACCCUUCAUUUGAGAACUGAUUCAAAGAGAGAUCGGAUUGCUUGGAUACAAGCUUUGGUAUCAACCAGGAGCCUCUUUCUGCUGAGACCACUAAAUGAUAACCUCUCCCUUGUACCCCAUGAUUUGUCUAUAUCAACUGAUAAGCUCAAGAAACGGUUGCUUGAGGAGGGAAUCAGUGAUAAUCUUGUGAAGGAUUGCGAGCAGAUUAUGCUCACAGAGUUCUCGGAGAUACAAGGACAACUGAAAGUUCUUUGUGAAGAAAGGUCUAAUUUGCUUGACACGUUAAGACAGUUGGAGGCAGCUAAUAUUGAAGCUGAAACCUCUGGAAUACAUGAUGGCGAUUUCCAAUUGACGAAGCAUGAAUAUUCCGGUAUAGGGCGUGGAAAAUAUAGUGAAUGCAGCACGACUGAAUCAUCUGAUGAUAUUGAGAAACAAGAGCUUGAGGAAGUGUCUGAUGAAGAUGAAACCUCCUUUUAUGACACAAAAGAGUAUUUUACUGAACCCCCUGUUAGUUGUGGAUCUGUAAGAGGGGCAGCUGAUCAUGCAGAAAAUCAGAAAGAAGCUGAAAAACAAUUUGAUAAUGUGGAAAAGAUGCAUGCUGAUAAAGAAGAUUGUGAUUCCAGAUAUCCUCAAAUUGAAAGACGGAAAAAGCUUCCUGAUCCAAUUGAAAAAGAGAAAGGCGUUAGCCUUUGGUCUAUGAUCAAAGACAAUGUGGGAAAGGAUCUCACUCGAGUUUGUCUCCCUGUUUACUUUAAUGAACCAAUAUCAUCCCUUCAGAAAUGUUUUGAGGACCUAGAGUAUUCUUAUCUUUUGGACCGAGCAUACAAGUAUGGAAAAGAAGGGAACAGUCUCCAGCGGAUUCUAAAUGUUGCUGCAUUUGCUGUUUCUGGGUAUGCUUCUUCUGAAGGCCGACACUGUAAGCCCUUCAAUCCCUUACUAGGAGAAACUUAUGAAGCUGACUAUCCUGACAAAGGAGUUCGUUUCUUCUCUGAGAAGGUUAGUCACCACCCAACCCUUAUUGCCUGUCACUGUGAAGGUAAAGGAUGGAAAUUCUGGGGUGACAGCAACCUCCGCACAAAGUUUUGGGGGCGGUCAAUUCAGCUUGACCCUGUUGGAGUUCUGACCCUUGAGUUUGAUGAUGGUGAAAUAUUUCAGUGGAGCAAGGUGACAACAAGUAUUUAUAAUCUUAUCCUUGGUAAAGUGUAUUGUGAUCACCAUGGAUUGAUGCAAAUUUGUGGGAAUCGUGAAUAUUCAUGCAAGCUCAAAUUCAAGGAGCAGUCUAUUCUUGACAGGAACCCUCGUCAGGUCCAUGGGUUUGUUGAAGACCUUUCCGGUAAAAAGGUUGCAACAUUAAUUGGCAAAUGGGAUGACAGCAUGUAUUAUGUCAGUGGUGAUGGAAGUGCCAGGCCAAAGGACUGCAAUCCUUCAUCAAAUGCGUCCUUGCUAUGGAAGAGGAACAAGCCACCUCCUAAUUUGACUCGCUACAACUUAACGUCAUUUGCAAUCACACUAAAUGAGCUAACACCAGGACUGCAGCUUUGUCUGAUCCCGGGUAUUUGAUCACGGAUUAAGGAGAAGCUCCCACCUACGGAUUCCAGGCUUAGACCAGACCAACGGCAUUUGGAAAAUGGGGAAUAUGAGAGAGCAAAUGCAGAGAAACAGCGGUUGGAAAGGAGGCAGAGAAUGUCAAGGAAACUACAAGAAAAUGGGUGGAAUCCUAGAUGGUUUGAGAGAGAAGGUGAAAAUGGAUCCUUCCGCUAUGUGGGCGGUUAUUGGGAAGCAAGAGAACAGGGGAAAUGGGAUGGAUGUCCAAAUAUAUUUGGUGAAUUCAACGAAGAACUUGUUGAUUCCACUGAACGACCCUGACUUCAAUUUUAGAAUGGACAAACAUUGGAGACAAUCAUGGAGCAAAAUUGAGAAAUGAAGAGUUUUAAGUAGCUUUGAUUUCUGAUUGCCAUUCAUUCUAUAUCUGCUGGCAAAGAUCGCAGACCAAUAUUCACAUGGUCGUUCCAAGAGACAUCUAUGUGAAGAAUUUGAUCUUUCAGUCAGUAGAUAAUGCAUAGGUCAGAGCCAAAAUUUUUCUGUAACAUUCUCUAGUGUGGGAAUUGUUUGUGUAAUGUAAUUUCUCCAUAGUUCAUUUAUUCUAGCUCCAUUCAACUGAAUUAGCCGAUCUGGCUGACAAUUUCAUUUCAUAAUUAUUUGUAUUUUCUUCCUAGCAAUAAAUCAAAAGAAAGAAGAAGAAGCGCAUUCUUGCCAUCAGCCAAACAUGGGAUUGCUUUGCUGGUGUUGUGUAA
Theobroma cacao (cacao) is the source of this 3061-nucleotide non-coding RNA. NCBI's taxonomy places the organism in Eukaryota, Viridiplantae, Streptophyta, Magnoliopsida, Malvales, Malvaceae. The record is from RefSeq and is a predicted model, not a curated record.